This 1444-nucleotide ribosomal RNA is filed under the name uncultured organism. RNAcentral describes it as "SSU rRNA". It matches the Rfam family "Bacterial small subunit ribosomal RNA". The record is from RNAcentral.
GAACGCUAGCUACAGGCUUAACACAUGCAAGUCGAGGGGCAUCAGGAAGAAAGCUUGCUUUCUUUGCUGGCGACCGGCGCACGGGUGAGUAACACGUAUCCAACCUGCCCUUUACUCGGGGAUAGCCUUUCGAAAGAAAGAUUAAUACCCGAUGGCAUAAUGAUUCCGCAUGGUUUCAUUAUUAAAGGAUUCCGGUAAAGGAUGGGGAUGCGUUCCAUUAGGUUGUUGGUGAGGUAACGGCUCACCAAGCCUUCGAUGGAUAGGGGUUCUGAGAGGAAGGUCCCCCACAUUGGAACUGAGACACGGUCCAAACUCCUACGGGAGGCAGCAGUGAGGAAUAUUGGUCAAUGGGCGCUAGCCUGAACCAGCCAAGUAGCGUGAAGGAUGAAGGCUCUAUGGGUCGUAAACUUCUUUUAUAUAAGAAUAAAGUGCAGUAUGUAUACUGUUUUGUAUGUAUUAUAUGAAUAAGGAUCGGCUAACUCCGUGCCAGCAGCCGCGGUAAUACGGAGGAUCCGAGCGUUAUCCGGAUUUAUUGGGUUUAAAGGGAGCGUAGGUGGACUGGUAAGUCAGUUGUGAAAGUUUGCGGCUCAACCGUAAAAUUGCAGUUGAUACUGUCAGUCUUGAGUACAGUAGAGGUGGGCGGAAUUCGUGGUGUAGCGGUGAAAUGCUUAGAUAUCACGAAGAACUCCGAUUGCGAAGGCAGCUCACUGGACUGCAACUGACACUGAUGCUCGAAAGUGUGGGUAUCAAACAGGAUUAGAUACCCUGGUAGUCCACACAGUAAACGAUGAAUACUCGCUGUUUGCGAUAUACAGUAAGCGGCCAAGCGAAAGCAUUAAGUAUUCCACCUGGGGAGUACGCCGGCAACGGUGAAACUCAAAGGAAUUGACGGGGGCCCGCACAAGCGGAGGAACAUGUGGUUUAAUUCGAUGAUACGCGAGGAACCUUACCCGGGCUUAAAUUGCAGUGGAAUGAUGUGGAAACAUGUCAGUGAGCAAUCACCGCUGUGAAGGUGCUGCAUGGUUGUCGUCAGCUCGUGCCGUGAGGUGUCGGCUUAAGUGCCAUAACGAGCGCAACCCUUAUCUUUAGUUACUAACAGGUUAUGCUGAGGACUCUAGAGAGACUGCCGUCGUAAGAUGUGAGGAAGGUGGGGAUGACGUCAAAUCAGCACGGCCCUUACGUCCGGGGCUACACACGUGUUACAAUGGGGGGUACAGAAGGCAGCUAGCGGGUGACCGUAUGCUAAUCCCAAAAGCCUCUCUCAGUUCGGAUCGAAGUCUGCAACCCGACUUCGUGAAGCUGGAUUCGCUAGUAAUCGCGCAUCAGCCACGGCGCGGUGAAUACGUUCCCGGGCCUUGUACACACCGCCCGUCAAGCCAUGGGAGCCGGGGGUACCUGAAGUACGUAACCGCAAGGAUCGUCCUAGGGUAAAACUGGUGACUGG